AAAUAAAUUAGUGGACAGUGGUGCGUCAAUAGAUAUUGUUUAUACGGACUUCCAGAAGGUAUUUGAAAAACAACUCAAACAGUUAGCUGGCUAAAUAUAUCAAAUAUUUUGGGCAGGAUUUUCCAGAGAUGGCAAGAACAAUGGCAGACACACCAGAGCUUCAUCCCCUUCAUUGUCUUCAAGCCACUUUUUGGAAAUAAACUUUAAGUAGGUCAACAACUGAAA
Molecule: non-coding RNA, 225 nt
Organism: Chiloscyllium plagiosum (whitespotted bambooshark)
Lineage: Eukaryota; Metazoa; Chordata; Chondrichthyes; Orectolobiformes; Hemiscylliidae
Source: RefSeq, a predicted model, not a curated record